GAUGAACGCUGGCGGCGUGCCUAAUACAUGCAAGUCGAGCGAACGGACGAGAAGCUUGCUUCUCUGAUGUUAGCGGCGGACGGGUGAGUAACACGUGGAUAACCUACCUAUAAGACUGGGAUAACUUCGGGAAACCGGAGCUAAUACCGGCUGAUAUUUUGAACCGCAUGGUUCAAAAGUGAAAGACGGUCUUGCUGUCACUUAUAGAUGGAUCCGCGCUGCAUUAGCUAGUUGGUAAGGUAACGGCUUACCAAGGCAACGCUGCAUAGCCGACCUGAGAGGGUGAUCGGCCACACUGGAACUGAGACACGGCCCAGACUCCUACGGGAGGCAGCAGUAGGGAAUCUUCCGCAAUGGGCGAAAGCCUGACGGAGCAACGCCGCGUGAGUGAUGAAGGUCUUCGGAUCGUAAAACUCUGUUAUUAGGGAAGAACAUAUGUGUAAGUAACUGUGCACAUCUUGACGGUACCUAAUCAGAAAGCCACGGCUAACUACGUG
This 497-nucleotide ribosomal RNA is filed under the name uncultured bacterium. Its description in RNAcentral is "partial 16S ribosomal RNA". It matches the Rfam family "Bacterial small subunit ribosomal RNA", at positions 28 to 507 of the family's 1533-position model. The record is from RNAcentral.